Molecule: unclassified non-coding RNA, 755 nt
Filed under: Hevea brasiliensis (rubber tree)
Lineage: Eukaryota; Viridiplantae; Streptophyta; Magnoliopsida; Malpighiales; Euphorbiaceae
Source: RNAcentral
UUAAUAAUUGAGACAUGCAGGAAAGUAUACACAAGUACUCUGCUGUUUAGUCUAUAGAAUAAUGGGCACAUGUCCUAUUUGCAAAAGUAAAUCUAUAAAUCAAAAGCACUCAAUACAUCAAGACAAGCCCUGAAGCCAUAUAUUGUUUAUUUCUCUGUAUACCUUAUCUCUUUGAAGCAUGACUGCAAAGUAAAGAUACCAUGGUUCUGACAAAAGCGUUCCGCUGUAACUUCUCAGAUAGCAUGAGCUAGAAACCAGCCCAUCCAGCAGGUUGAGUAGCUGGCCGACUCCCCACGGUCUUCUCCCCACCAAAGUGCUGAGAACUAUUUCCUUCAUUACUGGGUCCUGAAAUCUGAGUGCUGGCAGCAACAGAAGCUGUAAAACUAUCCGCUCCAAAACCCCAUGACUCAAAUUCAGAAGAUGCCUGAGAAACCUGAAUUUUCUGGUUUGCAUUUCGUGUCCUAACAGAUUGAGGACUGUUGGCCUUUGAAAGAGGCUGCUGAUGUGACUUGGGAUCCUUUGCAAAUGCUUGCCAUGGCUUGGGCUCUGAAUUUGGGGUACUCCAGUCAGAUUCUCCUCGCUUGGGAGUUGUUGAUGAUUGAACUUUAGGGGAAGCAUGAUGCUUAUUUGGUGAUGGAGUUCUAGUAGCCAUUGCUUGCUUGAGCUCCUGUAUCUCUUGCCUCUGAGAUCGNAAGAUAGCUUUUCAUACUUUGAAGUCAUUUCCACCUUCUCGAAAUUUGCUUGCUUCAGUUGCU